This is an RNA transcript of Anopheles coluzzii, 11429 nucleotides long. RefSeq lists it as uncharacterized. The record is from RefSeq and is a predicted model, not a curated record. The transcript has 14 exons. NCBI's taxonomy places the organism in Eukaryota, Metazoa, Arthropoda, Insecta, Diptera, Culicidae.
AAUUUAGCGUACCAGUUGACGCAGAACGGAACGAUAAGCUUCUUAGCGAAGCACCACAUCUACCAAGGGAUGCAGCUAACGAUUGAUUACAGAUUGAUCGAAGAUGACAACUGUUGACACGUCUGUAUGUUGACAUAAGAGCGAUAAUAAGUGCGAGAUAAUGAUAAAGGCAGGUGCGCUUAUCGAUUAAACCGAUAAGCUGAUCGACGGUGCCAUAAAACACCGUAAAGAGCUAGAGAGAGAGAGAGAGUUAAGCUUGCUGCUUGCUGCAGUGUGCUAGUGUAUAACUUAAAAUGUGUAGUUUGUAGUUUGUGCAAGUGAAAAAUAUGUGUUAUUGAAUCUUGACUCAACAAAUUGAAUUUCAUCGUGCCAGUAAUAUCGAAGAUAUAGGAAUUUAUCGUGAAGCCGUGUAAAAAUGGCGUCAAAAAAAUGCGAAUGGAAGGCAGUCUUUCGAAAAAAACGCCAAUAGUAUUUGGAGCAGUUGGAACGCGAAUGGAGGCACGGCGUCUAACUUGGGAAGCCAUCGACUUUGUAGCCAUCGGCUAAACCAUGCGUGUAGUCCCUAUUUAGCGUACCAGUUGACGCAGAACGGAACGAUAAGCUUCUUAGCGAAGCACCACAUCUACCAAGGGAUGCAGCUAACGAUUGAUUACAGAUUGAUCGAAGAUGACAACUGUUGACACGUCUGUAUGUUGACAUAAGAGCGAUAAUAAGUGCGAGAUAAUGAUAAAGGCAGGUGCGCUUAUCGAUUAAACCGAUAAGCUGAUCGACGGUGCCAUAAAACACCGUAAAGAGCUAGAGAGAGAGAGAGAGAGUUAAGCUUGCUGCUUGCUGCAGUGUGCUAGUGUAUAACUUAAAAUGUGUAGUUUGUAGUUUGUGCAAGUGAAAAAUAUGUGUUAUUGAAUCUUGACUCAACAAAUUGAAUUUCAUCGUGCCAGUAAUAUCGAAGAUAUAGGAAUUUAUCGUGAAGCCGUGUAAAAAUGGCGUCCAAAAAAAUGCGAAUGGAAGGCAGUCUUUCGAAAAAAACGCCAAUAGUAUUUGGAGCAGUUGGAACGCGAAUGGAGGCACGGCGUCUAACUUGGGAAGCCAUCGACUUUGUAGCCAUCGGCUAAACCAUGCGUGUAGUCCCUAUUUAGCGUACCAGUUGACGCAGAACGGAACGAUAAGCUUCUUAGCGAAGCACCACAUCUACCAAGGGAUGCAGCUAACGAUUGAUUACAGAUUGAUCGAAGAUGACAACUGUUGACACGUCUGUAUGUUGACAUAAGAGCGAUAAUAAGUGCGAGAUAAUGAUAAAGGCAGGUGCGCUUAUCGAUUAAACCGAUAAGCUGAUCGACGGUGCCAUAAAACACCGUAAAGAGCUAGAGAGAGAGAGAGAGUUAAGCUUGCUGCUUGCUGCAGUGUGCUAGUGUAUAACUUAAAAUGUGUAGUUUGUAGUUUGUGCAAGUGAAAAAUAUGUGUUAUUGAAUCUUGACUCAACAAAUUGAAUUUCAUCGUGCCAGUAAUAUCGAAGAUAUAGGAAUUUAUCGUGAAGCCGUGUAAAAAUGGCGUCCAAAAAAAUGCGAAUGGAAGGCAGUCUUUCGAAAAAAACGCCAAUAGUAUUUGGAGUAGUUGGAACGCGAAUGGAGGCACGGCGUCUAACUUGGGAAGCCAUCGACUUUGUAGCCAUCGGCUAAACCAUGCGUGUAGUCCCAAUUUAGCAUACCAGUUGACGCAGAACGGAACGAUAAGCUUCUUAGCGAAGCACCACAUCUACCAAGGGAUGCAGCUAACGAUUGAUUACAGAUUGAUCGAAGAUGACAACUGUUGACACGUCUGUAUGUUGACAUAAGAGCGAUAAUAAGUGCGAGAUAAUGAUAAAGGCAGGUGCGCUUAUCGAUUAAACCGAUAAGCUGAUCGACGGUGCCAUAAAACACCGUAAAGAGCUAGAGAGAGAGAGAGAGAGAGAGAGUUAAGCUUGCUGCUUGCUGCAGUGUGCUAGUGUAUAACUUAAAAUGUGUAGUUUGUAGUUUGUGCAAGUGAAAAAUAUGUGUUAUUGAAUCUUGACUCAACAAAUUGAAUUUCAUCGUGCCAGUAAUGUAAGAAUUAUUAAAAAUGAUUUCACUUUAUGUAAUAAUUUUUCCAAAUUUAAAGUGGCCUCAUUUUUUCAUCAAAGAUCGAAGAUAUAGGAAUUUAUCGUGAAGCCGUGUAAAAAUGGCGUCCAAAAAAAUGCGAAUGGAAGGCAGUCUUUCGAAAAAAACGCGAAUAGUAUUUGGAGCAGUUGGAACGCGAAUGGAGGCACGGCGUCUAACUUGGGAAGCCAUCGACUUUGUAGCCAUCGGCUAAACCAUGCGUGUAGUCCCAAUUUAGCAUACCAGUUGACGCAGAACGGAACGAUAAGCUUCUUAGCGAAGCACCACAUCUACCAAGGGAUGCAGCUAACGAUUGAUUACAGAUUGAUCGAAGAUGACAACUGUUGACACGUCUGUAUGUUGACAUAAGAGCGAUAAUAAGUGCGAGAUAAUGAUAAAGGCAGGUGCGCUUAUCGAUUAAACCGAUAAGCUGAUCGACGGUGCCAUAAAACACCGUAAAGAGCUAGAGAGAGAGAGAGAGAGUUAAAAGGAAUGUUCGGAGCGGUCAGGGUUCGCGCGCUAGGUCAAAGAUGGAAGAUAUAGGAAUUUAUCGUGAAGCCGUGUAAAAAUGGCGUCCAAAAAUGCGAAUGUAUGGCAGUCUUUCGAAAAAAACGCCAAUAGUAUUUGGAGCAGUUGGAACGCGAAUGGAGGCACGGCGUCUAACUUGGGAAGCCAUCGACUUUGUAGCCAUCGGCUAAACCAUGCGUGUAGUCCCAAUUUAGCGUACCAGUUGACGCAGAACGGAACGAUAAGCUUCUUAGCGAAGCACCCCAUCUACCAAGGGAUGCAGCUAACGAUUGAUUACAGAUUGAUCGAAGAUGACAACUGUUGACACGUCUGUAUGUUGACAUAAGAGCGAUAAUAAGUGCGAGAUAAUGAUAAAGGCAGGUGCGCUUAUCGAUUAAACCGAUAAGCUGAUCGACGGUGCCAUAAAACACCGUAAAGAGCGAGAGAGAGAGAGAGAGUUAAGCUUGCUGCUUGCUGCAGUGUGCUAGUGUAUAACUUAAAAUGUGUAGUUUGUAGUUUGUGCAAGUGAAAAAUAUGUGUUAUUGAAUCUUGACUCAACAAAUUGAAUUUCAUCGUGCCAGUAAUGUAAGAAUUAUUAAAAAUGAUUUCACUUUAUGUAAUAAUUUUUCCAAAUUUAAAGUGGCCUCAUUUUUUCAUCAAAGAUCGAAGAUAUAGGAAUUUAUCGUGAAGCCGUGUAAAAAUGGCGUCCAAAAAAAUGCGAAUGGAAGGCAGUCUUUCGAAAAAAACGCCAAUAGUAUUUGGAGUAGUUGGAACGCGAAUGGAGGCACGGCGUCUAACUUGGGAAGCCAUCGACUUUGUAGCCAUCGGCUAAACCAUGCGUGUAGUCCCAAUUUAGCGUACCAGUUGACGCAGAACGGAACGAUAAGCUUCUUAGCGAAGCACCACAUCUACCAAGGGAUGCAGCUAACGAUUGAUUACAGAUUGAUCGAAGAUGACAACUGUUGACACGUCUGUAUGUUGACAUAAGAGCGAUAAUAAGUGCGAGAUAAUGAUAAAGGCAGGUGCGCUUAUCGAUUAAACCGAUAAGCUGAUCGACGGUGCCAUAAAACACCGUAAAGAGCUAGAGAGAGAGAGAGAGAGAGAGAGUUAAGCUUGCUGCUUGCUGCAGUGUGCUAGUGUAUAACUUAAAAUGUGUAGUUUGUAGUUUGUGCAAGUGAAAAAUAUGUGUUAUUGAAUCUUGACUCAACAAAUUGAAUUUCAUCGUGCCAGUAAUGUAAGAAUUAUUAAAAAUGAUUUCACUUUAUGUAAUAAUUUUUCCAAAUUUAAAGUGGCCUCAUUUUUUCAUCAAAGAUCGAAGAUAUAGGAAUUUAUCGUGAAGCCGUGUAAAAAUGGCGUCCAAAAAAAUGCGAAUGGAAGGCAGUCUUUCGAAAAAAACGCCAAUAGUAUUUGGAGCAGUUGGAACGCGAAUGGAGGCACGGCGUCUAACUUGGGAAGCCAUCGACUUUGUAGCCAUCGGCUAAACCAUGCGUGUAGUCCCAAUUUAGCGUACCAGUUGACGCAGAACGGAACGAUAAGCUUCUUAGCGAAGCACCACAUCUACCAAGGGAUGCAGCUAACGAUUGAUUACAGAUUGAUCGAAGAUGACAACUGUUGCCGGUGUAUUUUGUGGAUUCACAAAACCGGAUCACGUGAAAGGAUUUUUGCGGCCUCACGUUGAUGAAGUAAACAAGCUUCAAUCAAGUGGCUUGCGGUUCGGCAACAAGACAGUGGGCGUUAAACUUCACAUGUCUGAUUUACCCGCCCGCUGCUUUGCCAAAGCUACCAUAAGCUACGUUGGCAAACACAGCUGCCAUAAAUGUACAUGCAUGGGAGUACACGAAGGGAAAAAUGUCAUUGUUGAAGAUGUGGAUGCUGAAUUGCGGACUGAGGAAAGCUUUAAAGGCAGGACGGAUAAGGAACAUCACAAAAGUUGGAAGUCACCAAGAUGUGAUAUUCACCUUUAUCAACGAAUUCUUCAUCCUGGCUGUUUGCCCCCUUUCCUGUUAGCAUACGAAUCACCGCGCAGUGAUCCGCAUCCCAGUCGGCACCAACGUGGAGGUAGGAAUAGGAGUUGCGAGAGCGUUCCGGGCGCAUAUACAACAAUGACACAUUGUCUGCUGGUCGCCCUGCUCGUCGCCGUUUACCGACCGACCAAGCGUACUUGGCCCGUUCUGACGAACGCAUGGUUGGUCAGCCCUUUGCGUAAAGAAGGGCUGCCAAACCCAAAACAAAAGCAUUGCAUUCCACCAUCGACCAGCCCAUGCUGGGUCUGUUGGGACGAGCAAUGCGAUGAGGGCGAAGGUAUGGAAAAAAUAAAAAUAAAAAAAUAAAAUCCAUCAUUACUACAUGCAGACCGUGGUGGCAUGGCGUUUGGGACAGUGAAGCGUUCGAUUGAGCCCAUCGCAGUCGCAGGGUUAGCUUGAGAGCUAGUAUGUUAGUUUACAAACAACAAAUAACAAAUGUUCCGUCCAGUGUUAUCCGUUAUCAGACGUUAUCCGACGACUGAUCGAUCUAAAAAUCAGAUAUAAAAAAGAACGGUAUUAAUUAAUCGCCUAAAAUCGCAUGGUGCGCAAACACUUUGACGCACUCCAGCGUGGUAUUGUGGUAUAAAAAGUAGUAUAUUACGUAUAGAAGCUAUAUGAUAGCUAUAUGAGAGACGCCCGUAAAUCUAGUGUUGAAGCCGCUGCAUCGUCUUAGGCCACUACCUGCUUGAUUGCUACGGGAAGAUGUUGUGUAAAGAUCGCUGCUUCGUUCCGAGCUGCUGCUACGGCUCGGUGAGGUUGAUUGUAGUGUUCCGCAAUGUCCCACGCUCGCUGCAGUUGUGGCGUGGCCGCUGCUGUUGAACGGUUUCCUAUCGAACAGGCUUCGAACAUACUCCACAUUCUCCGGGACGCCGACGCAACACUGACAAUCCGCGGACGACGUGAAUCCCUAGGAAUCCCGUGAAUCCCAGAUGGAAGGUCACAUCUCGAUGUGUCCGCGAUUGUCAGUCUCCGACGGAUGGUAACACGCGGUGCGUCCACCGCGUAUACCGGCUGGCUGCUGAGUCGGCUGCGUCGGCAUCCCACUGCUUCUGCUAGUCCGCGAUGGUUGGCAGCUUCUCCGCUGCCCGGAACUCCUUGCUCGUUUCCACCCGGUCACACCGGAUACCAGGACGGCUUCAGUGUUCGGUGGGGCGAGCUCGCUCGUUUCCGCCCGGUCACACCGGCUACCAGGACGGAUUUGGUCUUCGUCGGAGGGAGCUCGCUCGUUUCCGCCCGGUCACACCGGCUACCGGGACGGAAUCAUUCUUCGUCGGAGGGAGCUCGCUCGUUUCGGCCCGGUCACACCGGCUGCCAGGACGGAUUUGAUCUUCGUCGGAGCGAGCUCGAGCCCAUGCUGCUGCAUCCAUCGAUGAACUUCUGCCACAGCUUCCUCAGCAACAGCCGUAGAUCGUCUGGAUAUCUGAUGACCUUGGCGCCGGGGGCCGUCCACAUCCCGAACUGUGUAUGUGUGUGUGUAUUGUCUGCGUAUCUAUCGUCCAGUAAAAUGUUAAUGCUCUCUUGCAUACCAAUGACCGUGCUAAAUCGAACCACAUUCGCACAAGUUCCCAGCGCUGGCAAGCGGUACGUUCGAGACCAUACCUGAAGAUGACAUUCCGAGCGAUACGUUAUGUAUAGGUGCCCCUUGUUUGAAGAGAGAUUGCUUCAAAAUAAUUGCAUACUACGAAUCGUAACCUGGAUUGGCAAAUUUGCGAUGCCGGUGGUACUACCGAACUAUCUAAAUCCUUCUAAACUAUCUAAAUCUAAACUAUCUAAACUAUCUAUCUACGGGAAGAUAUUGUGUAAAGAUUGCUGCUUUGUUCCGAGCUGCUGCUACGGCUCGGUGAGGUUGAUUGUAGUGUUCCGCAAUGUCCCACGCUCGCUGCAGUUGUGGCGUGGCCGCUGCUGUUGAACGGUUUCCUAUCGAACAGGCUUCGAACAUACUCCACAUUCUCCGGGACGCCGACGCAACACUGACAAUCCGCGGACGACGUGAAUCCCUUGGCACACAGAUAGUCAUGGAACAAUCCGCGGUCCUGACAGUAUGCGGGCCAGAUGGAAGGUCACAUCUCGAUGUGUCCGCGAUUGUCAGUCUCCGACGGAUGGUAACACGCGGUGCGUCCACCGCGUAUACCGGCUGGCUGCUGAGUCGGCUGCGUCGGCAUCCCACUGCUUCUGCUAGUCCGCGAUGGUUGGCAGCUUCUCCGCUGCCCGGAACUCCUUGCUCGUUUCCACCCGGUCACACCGGAUACCAGGACGGCUUCAGUGUUCGGUGGGGCGAGCUCGCUCGUUUCCGCCCGGUCACACCGGCUACCGGGACGGAAUCAUUCUUCGUCGGAGGGAGCUCGCUCGUUUCCGCCCGGUCACACCGGAUACCAGGACGGAUUUGUUUUUCGUCGGAGGGAGCUCGCUCGUUUCCGCGCGGUCACACCGGCUACCGGGACGGAAUCAUUCUUCGUCGGAGGGAGCUCGCUCGUUUCCGCCCGGUCACACCGGCUACCGGGACGGAAUCAUUCUUCGUCGGAGGGAGCUCGCUCGUUUCCGCCCGGUCACACCGGAUACCAGGACGGAUUUGAUCUUCGUCGGAGGGAGCUCGCUCGUUUCCGCCCGGUCACACCGGCUACCGGGACGGAAUCAUUCUUCGUCGGAGGGAGCUCGCUCGUUUCCGCCCGGUCACACCGGCUACCAGGACGGAUUUGAUCUUCGUCGGAGGGAGCUCGCUCGUUUCCGCCCGGUCACACCGGCUACCAGGACGGAUUUGAUCUUCGUCGGAGCGAGCUCGAGCCCAUGCUGCUGCAUCCAUCGAUGAACUUCUGCCACAGCUUCCUCAGCAACAGCAGUAGAUCGUCUGGAUAUCUGAUGACCUUGGCGCCGGGGGGCGUCCACAUCCCGAACUGUGUAUGUGUGUGUGUAUUGUCUGCGUAUCUAUCGUCCAGUAAAAUGUUAAUGCUCUCUUGCAUACCAAUGACCGUGCUAAAUCGAACGACAUUCACACAAGUUCCCAACGCUGGCAAGCGGUACGAUCGAGACCAUACCUGAAGAUGACAUUCCGAGCGAUACGUUAUGUAUAGGCGCCCCUUGUUUGAAGAGAGAUUGCUUCAAAAUAAUUGCAUACUACGAAUCGUAACCUGGAUUGGCAAAUUUGCGAUGCCGGUGGUACUACCGAACUAUCUAAAUCCUUCAAUUAACUGCCCAAACUAAGGGUAAACGUGUACCCUAGUAGGGGUACAUUCGCACGAGAAAUUGUCACGCUUGUCGCUCUUUUUCGAUGCGAUUUGUGCUCACUUGAAACACUGCGAUAUCUGGCCGACGGUCAACGUGCUUAAUCAAUUACUACAUCGUUAGUACGAAUGAGGAUGAGAAUGAAAGUAAGAGCAGGCUUUGGAAGCAGCUGAACUCUUACGUCUUAGCCUAAGAUGAUUGAUGGGAGAUGAUUCUCAUAGCUACUUAGAGUGUAGUGUUAGUUUUAACGCUUAAGUAUCUGAUCAAGCGGCAUGGGGACCACUUAUAAGACCAGUGAUCUUAACUAACUUAACUAACUUAACUAACUUAACUAACUUAACUAACUUAACAGCUUGCUUAAGCACUUUGACCGCCAGGCCUGAUGUCGCAGUUUCGGUGCAUUUUUGUGUCUGUUUUUGUUUCUAUAAUGAUUAAAUUUUGCUGAUUCAAGUACAAAUGCAAUGAUAUCUCAGUUUCAAUGGAACGGUCGCCACUACAUUUCGUGAAGCUAUUUUAGGUUGAGAUACUUGCGGGGAAUGGUGUGAAGAAAAUGAUGAAAAACCACCGCCGUUGCAGUUUGCCCUGCAGCAUGUCGAAACAUAGCUGAUAAAUACUUGUAACUGAAACUGUAACUUAUCGUAUCGGCAUCAUUAUCGUUCGCCUUAAUAAACAUGCAUUUUGUGCGGUACUUGAGUUCAUCGGUAAGCGUAGGACAAUAAAAUGUCGCUUUGCGUAGAACCGUACAGCGUGAGAAGAAACCAGGAAACAAACUGCAUGAUGCAUCAUACAUAUGCAUAGCAAUAAUUGAAUCCGGUAAGAUUACAACGCAGAGCGCAUCGGUCAUAAAAUCUCAAGUGUGUUUAGAAAACGGAAAGAAAUAUGAAAUAGGCAUAGCAAAAUCAUAUACGAAUGCAUCACACCUACACAUUGACACAAGAUGUGCAUAAAUAAACAACACACACAAAUUAUUGCAAAACAUAAAUCAGGGUUUUCGUGAAAUAAAGACAGAUUGGUAAAGACAGUAAAUGAAGACGCGCGUAUCAUAAUUCAAGAGCUGGGAGUGUCUUCCCUCUUACGAUUUCAGUAAGUGAAAUUUCUUACAAAUUUCCAAGAUCGCCUAGACGUAUAAAGUGAGAAGUUUAACAACAAACAAUUCAUAUAAUACAGUCCCCUUUCCUGUUAGCAUACGAAUCAUGGUGAAUUGAUCCGCAUCCCGGUCGGCACCAACGUGGAGGUAGGAAUAGGAGUUGCGAGAGCAUUACGGGCGCAUAUACAACAAUGGCACCGACUCAACCAGGCACAUUGUCUGCUGGUCGCCCUGCUCGUCGCCGUUUACCGACCGACCAAGCGUACUAGUACUUAAGCUUGGCCCGUUCUGACGAACGAAUGGUUCGCCAACCCUUUUGCGAAAAGAAGGGCUGCCAAACUCAAAACCAAAGCAUUGCAUUCCGCUAUCGACCAGCCCAUGCUGGGUCUGUUGGGACGAGCAAUGCGAUGAGGGCGAAGGUAUGGAAAAAAAUAAAACGCGCACCACCGGGGUACGGGGUAUAAAAUGCAUUCCAGGCAAAUGGCUGUGUUGACACGCCAAAAUAUAAACACUGCAAAGGCUGGGACAAACAGAGGUGCUCGAUCUGAGCGCAAAGAGACGGUCCCAGAAGCUGCUGCUGCAAUCAAGCACCAACAUGGACGAUUACUUUGAUCGCUGCGACACCGUAGAAGAGGCAAAUGCAAGGGCACGACAAGUCCACCUGAUGCAUAGCAAAGCCGGUUUUAAUACAAUUGGAGUGAGUAAUGAGUCAACAGGGGUUUCAUGGUGGUGGCUGGUUUCGCUAAGACACUGUUUGACGUUUGGUGAAUAAAUGACGCUUCAAAUAUGAAGUAGUACUUUUCGAAAAGCUUAAUACUUUUUUCCACCGUUUUAAAAUGAUUCCAGAUGGGACUUUUGUAUCCACACUUUUCAGCCAUCUAGACCCAUAUCGCACUGUUAAAUAAUGUUCAUGUUUUAAGUAUAUUUUGCUUACCUUAUAUUUGAUGCUACUUCAACACUACUCAGCUCGAAGAGCUUCAAGAUCAAAUUCGCGUUUUUAACAGCUAUUACGCACUUGGCCUAUCUGCUCUCUGGUCGACAGAGAUUUGUCAAAACUGAGCAAAGACUAGCACGAACAAAACACACGCACAAAUGUCACCAAUAUUCUUAACACUUACCUAUACCUUGUACACAGUAUCAGACACGCUCAAGGACUCUACAGUAAUCUGUGUAAAUCUGGGUCAAAAUGAUGAGCGUAAUCAGUUUAGCCGUGCACGUGUAGAUCGAACACUGAUGGAUCACUUCGAACGCGUUUACACUGAUCAUUAACGAUUAUCACCGCUGGUUCGGGCAUGCCAAUCGCGAAGCGGUUGUGAAUGAGAUUAGGUAGCGGCAUUAGAUACAGCGCCCGCGUUCGUGUGUCUCCAGAACAAUGACACACUGUCAACUCACUUGCCACUUUUGGGACAGAUGGCUCAAAGAACACGUUCCGACUCUUCAUCGGCGAGCCAAAUGGCAAAGAGAAAGCGAACAGUUGACGGUGGGAGCUUUGGUCUUCAUGACAAAAGGAGCUCGAAAGCAAUGGCCACAGCAGAGUGAGAGAGAGAGAGAGAGAGAGAGAGAGAGAGAGAGAGAGAGAGAGAGAGAGAGGAAGAGAACAAUCGGGAUCGGGAAUAAGUACCUUUUUAAAUCCACGCUGAGCAAAGGUCCAGUUAUCGCUUUCACAGGUUGAUUGCAUGUAGCAUAUUAAGCUUACUGGCUAUAUGAUAGCUAUAUAAAACCUAGUGUUGAAGCCGCUGCAUCGUGCAAGGCUCCUACAAGGUGUGUUUGUGUUUGUGUGUGUGUGUGUGUGUGUAUGUGUGUGUGUGCGUGUAUUGUCUAUGUAUCUGCCCUCAUGUUAAGUGUGUAUGCAUUCAUGCAAACAUACCAAUGACCGGGCUAAAUCGAACGAUAUCUGCGCAAGUUCCCCAACAGCGGGAACAGAAAGGUCAAAACUAUCCAAGCGACGUUAAACAAUCCAGCAGUGCGUGUAUUGUAAUCCAUGGGUUGCCGCGAUUGUUGCGUUAAAAAUUAUUUAUUUUUAAAUCAUGCUUUAUGGACAAGGCAUGCCAUGUGAGAUAAAUUGUUAACUGAUUCCUUACGAAAAAGCACUUUGACAAUCGUUGAACUCGUGAACAGCAACAGUAACAGCAACAGGUGUUUUGAAAUAUUCGCUUUUGCUUUCAAAUGCGAUCGAAAAUAUCCCUCAAAAUAGUUUAUGGCCAAAAUAGUUUAUUGACAAAUUUAUGGGUUCAUCACGGAGUUAUUUUCACCUGCUUUAACAAAACGUUAUUUGCACUUUGAAUAGUAGUAUCCCAUGAGACAACAGACAACCUCUAUCACCUCACCUUGACACCUCUAUCAGUCGAACCAUGGUGACCAAAGAAGGGAACUAACCAACUUAGAAGUGUGCGCGAACAACGAAUGACACCCCGCAGCGUCUUAACUAAUUAACUUUCAAAUGAUGUUCAUGUAAAGAAAUUGUCCCUCCUAGUUUUUUUU